GGUUCAGUGGUGGAGUUGUUCACACCUGCAUUCAUUGCAGUGUUUUCAUUAACAUCCUUGCAGGAGAUGCCUGUUCAAUUCAGGCCUGGACCA
Mycena rebaudengoi is the source of this 93-nucleotide non-coding RNA. NCBI's taxonomy places the organism in Eukaryota, Fungi, Basidiomycota, Agaricomycetes, Agaricales, Mycenaceae. The record is from the annotation of a GenBank genome assembly.